GGUGGGGUUCCCGAGCGGCCAAAGGGAGCAGACUGUAAAUCUGCCGUCAUCGACUGCGAAGGUUCGAAUCCUUCCCCCACCACCA
This 85-nucleotide transfer RNA is filed under the name Salmonella enterica. RNAcentral's name for it is "tRNA-Tyr". It matches the Rfam family "tRNA". Rfam says of the family: Transfer RNA (tRNA) molecules are approximately 80 nucleotides in length. Their secondary structure includes four short double-helical elements and three loops (D, anti-codon, and T loops). Further hydrogen bonds mediate the characteristic L-shaped molecular structure. tRNAs have two regions of fundamental functional importance: the anti-codon, which is responsible for specific mRNA codon recognition, and the 3' end, to which the tRNAs corresponding amino acid is attached (by aminoacyl-tRNA synthetases). tRNAs cope with the degeneracy of the genetic code in two manners: having more than one tRNA (with a specific anti-codon) for a particular amino acid; and 'wobble' base-pairing, i.e. permitting non-standard base-pairing at the 3rd anti-codon position. The record is from RNAcentral. RNAcentral also lists the same sequence under 1 other name. Lineage: Bacteria; Pseudomonadati; Pseudomonadota; Gammaproteobacteria; Enterobacterales; Enterobacteriaceae.